CCUACGGGUGGCAGCAGUGAGGAAUAUUGGUCAAUGGACGAGAGUCUGAACCAGCCAAGUAGCGUGAAGGAUGACUGCCCUAUGGGUUGUAAACUUCUUUUAUAAAGGAAUAAAACGAGGCACGUGUGCCUUUUUGCAUGUACUUUAUGAAUAAGGAUCGGAUAACUCCGUGCCAGCCGCCGCGGUAAUACGGAGGAUCCGAGCGUUAUCCGGAUUUAUUGGGUUUAAAGGGAGCUUAAAUGGGUUGUUAAGUCAGUUGUGAAAGUUUGCGGCUCAACCGUAAAAUUGCAAUUGAUACUGGCAGUCUUGAGUACAGUUGAGGUAGGCGGAAUUCGUGGUGUAGCGGUGAAAUGCUUAGAUAUCACGAAGAACCCCGAUUGCGAAGGCAGCUUACUAAACUGUGACUGACAUUGAUGCUCGAAAGUGUGGGUAUCAAACAGGAUUAGAUACCCUAGUAGUC
RNAcentral lists this ribosomal RNA (460 nucleotides) under uncultured bacterium. RNAcentral's name for it is "partial 16S ribosomal RNA". It matches the Rfam family "Bacterial small subunit ribosomal RNA", at positions 338 to 795 of the family's 1533-position model. The record is from RNAcentral.